Molecule: transfer RNA, 73 nt
Organism: Culex pipiens (northern house mosquito)
Lineage: Eukaryota; Metazoa; Arthropoda; Insecta; Diptera; Culicidae
Rfam family: tRNA
About the family: Transfer RNA (tRNA) molecules are approximately 80 nucleotides in length. Their secondary structure includes four short double-helical elements and three loops (D, anti-codon, and T loops). Further hydrogen bonds mediate the characteristic L-shaped molecular structure. tRNAs have two regions of fundamental functional importance: the anti-codon, which is responsible for specific mRNA codon recognition, and the 3' end, to which the tRNAs corresponding amino acid is attached (by aminoacyl-tRNA synthetases). tRNAs cope with the degeneracy of the genetic code in two manners: having more than one tRNA (with a specific anti-codon) for a particular amino acid; and 'wobble' base-pairing, i.e. permitting non-standard base-pairing at the 3rd anti-codon position.
Source: Rfam
GGUCUGGUGGCGCAGUGGUUAGCGUGGUAGCCUCUCACCCCAAUAUGUCCUGGGUUUAAUCCCAGACGGACCC